Non-coding RNA from Lupinus angustifolius (narrow-leaved blue lupine), 107 nucleotides. Lineage: Eukaryota; Viridiplantae; Streptophyta; Magnoliopsida; Fabales; Fabaceae. The record is from Rfam.
AAAUCAUGGUUGGGGCAUUUUCUAAACAGCAUCUGAAAACGCUCCCAAGCUUCAUAAAUGAUUCAUCUGCACCUUGCCUGAAAGUUGAUAUCUCAAAUUUCGCAUGC